This is an unclassified non-coding RNA of Pongo abelii (Sumatran orangutan), 147 nucleotides long. It matches the Rfam family "Metazoan signal recognition particle RNA". Rfam says of the family: The signal recognition particle (SRP) is a universally conserved ribonucleoprotein. It is involved in the co-translational targeting of proteins to membranes. The eukaryotic SRP consists of a 300-nucleotide 7S RNA and six proteins: SRPs 72, 68, 54, 19, 14, and 9. The record is from Ensembl. Lineage: Eukaryota; Metazoa; Chordata; Mammalia; Primates; Hominidae.
GCUGGGCAUGGUGGCACGUGCCUGUAAUCCCAGCUACUUGGAGUCUGAGGCAAGAGAAUCACUUGAACCCAGGAGCUGGAGGUUGCAGUGAGCCGAGAUCAUGCCACUGCACUCCAGCCUGGGCAAUAAAGUGAGACUCUGUCUCCA